This 804-nucleotide long non-coding RNA is filed under the name Triticum aestivum (bread wheat). RNAcentral describes it as "long non-coding RNA (TAES_LNC002084)". Lineage: Eukaryota; Viridiplantae; Streptophyta; Magnoliopsida; Poales; Poaceae. The record is from RNAcentral.
UUCCCCAUUGCUCCAAGAGAAGUUGUGUAACGCUGGCCCAGGAAGAGAAGAAGAAAAAUGAUAAUUCUUCGAGAAGAUAUCUCAACUCAUUAAAGAUUCAUUAAAUGAUUCAUAUGACAUCUAAAUCUAACAUGCAUUUUUAAAACAAUAGAUAUCUGCAAUGACCAAAAAAGGAACUAUCAGGAAGGUGAGUUUAGUGAACUGACAUCAAGAAAUUCAUGCAUAUUUCCUUUAAACAAGUUUGGGGAGUGUGUAUACAGUAGCACUACACAACUAUGAAUUAUAAAAAACAGAGAUGACCACCAUCAUGAGCAAUUCUUGGCAAAGGGAAGAUCCGUGUCUCAGGACUCAGUGAAAUAUAAUUCAUUUUUCAGCCUAAAGAUAUACAGAUAAAAAAAUGAUUGGAUCUGUCUAUCAAAGGUCACAAAAAAUAGCAAUCGAGCUCAAUAUGUUAUUUAGAAAAAAAAUUGGUAGACCAUGUACACAACAUGGCAAUUAACAUUAAGCACAAUGGAAUAAUCCUCUACUGGUUACUCUCAAUCUAAAAUCAACAGUUAAAUUACUAUUUAUCACCAUCAAGCCAGCAUAUGCGGUUCAUAUAUAAACUAAAUCAAGCUAGCAUACACACUUCAUCUCCAAAUAGGAUUCAUCUCCUGCGGUCUGGUUACCCAAAUCCAACCAAAGAUCCUCACAGAAGAGGAGGGGGAGGGGGUAGAGGAGGAAGACGAGCUUACUUGCGAGUAGAAGCCAGAGCGCAGGGGCAGGGAGUAUAUGGACCAAUAACAAUAAGUGGCCAGUAAGAUG